Dreissena polymorpha is the source of this 468-nucleotide long non-coding RNA. RefSeq lists it as uncharacterized. The record is from RefSeq and is a predicted model, not a curated record. NCBI's taxonomy places the organism in Eukaryota, Metazoa, Mollusca, Bivalvia, Myida, Dreissenidae. The transcript is spliced from 3 exons.
UGGGACCGGUACUCCAUCAGUCACGAUGAAGUACAAUAAUAAAGUAACGGAGACAAGUACAGCGGCCGACGCUAUUGUGACAUUGAGUGCACUCCCUGCCGGAUCGUAUACUUACACCCUACCAACCGCAUUGAACCCUGAUGCAAUUGGAACCAUUGCGACCGCUUCUUCUGGAGCGAUUACACUUGCUACAUGAAAAUCCCUUGAUUACGAAACAAAGACGUCCUAUGUAUUUGUUGUUGUCGCUACACCCGGUUCUGGUACUGCCGGCACUGCCACCGUGACUGUAGAGAUCAAGAACAUGGUCGAGUUCAGCCAGACUCACUACCUAGCGUGUAUCGCUGAUGGAACUACUGCCGGUACGACGAUCGGGACCUUUACUGUUGCAGAUAAGGCCAGCGAUGACACAAUCACCUAUGAAUAUUGUAAGACAUGAAUUGAGUGUUAUUUAAUUUUCGCAUUUUCAUA